This 138-nucleotide ribosomal RNA is filed under the name Jaculus jaculus (lesser Egyptian jerboa). The record is from RNAcentral. Lineage: Eukaryota; Metazoa; Chordata; Mammalia; Rodentia; Dipodidae.
GUUGACAGCCAUACCACCCUGAAUGAACCUGAUCCCGUGUGACCUGGGAAGCUAAGGAGGGCCAGGCCUGGUGAGAGCUUAGAUGGGAAGAAGUCUGGGGAUGCAGCUCAGUGGAUGUACAGAUAGGUACAGUCCACA